AUGCUUGCUUUGACAGCACAUAUACUAAAAUUUGAACGAUACAGAGAUUAGCAUGGCUCCUGCACAAUGACACGCAAAUUCAUGAAGCGUUCCAUAUUUUU
This is a small nuclear RNA of Dipodomys ordii (Ord's kangaroo rat), 101 nucleotides long. NCBI's taxonomy places the organism in Eukaryota, Metazoa, Chordata, Mammalia, Rodentia, Heteromyidae. The record is from Ensembl.